UGGCUCAGGACGAACGCUGGCGGCGUGCCUAAUACAUGCAAGUCGAACGAACGGAGGAAGAGCUUGCUCUUCCAAAGUUAGUGGCGGACGGGUGAGUAACACGUGGGCAACCUGCCUGUAAGUUGGGGAUAACUCCGGGAAACCGGGGCUAAUACCGAAUGAUAAAGUGUGGCGCAUGCCACGCUUUUGAAAGAUGGUUUCGGCUAUCGCUUACAGAUGGGCCCGCGGUGCAUUAGCUAGUUGGUAGGGUAAUGGCCUACCAAGGCAACGAUGCAUAGCCGACCUGAGAGGGUGAUCGGCCACACUGGGACUGAGACACGGCCCAGACUCCUACGGGAGGCAGCAGUAGGGAAUCUUCCGCAAUGGACGAAAGUCUGACGGAGCAACGCCGCGUGUAUGAAGAAGGUUUUCGGAUCGUAAAGUACUGUUGUUAGAGAAGAACAAGGAUAAGAGUAACUGCUUGUCCCUUGACGGUAUCUAACCAGAAAGCCACGGCUAACUACGUGCCAGCAGCCGCGGUAAUACAC
Molecule: ribosomal RNA, 527 nt
Filed under: uncultured Listeria sp.
Lineage: Bacteria; Bacillati; Bacillota; Bacilli; Caryophanales; Listeriaceae
Description: bacterial SSU rRNA
Rfam family: Bacterial small subunit ribosomal RNA
Source: RNAcentral